GGUAAAAAAGCUCGUAGUUGGAUUUCUGUUGAGGACGACCGGUCCAUACCACGUAUGCGUAUCUGGGUCGGCCUCGGCAUCCUCUCGCUGGACGUUUUUGUGCUUGAUUGCAUGAGGCGGACAACGGGACUUUUACUUUGAGGAAAUUAGAGUGUUUACGGCAGGCUAUCGCCCGAAUACAUUAGCAUGGAAUAAUACUAUAGGAUCUUGAUUCUAUUUUGUUGGUUUCUAGGAUUGAGAUAAUGAUUAAUAGGGACAAUUGGGGGCAUUCGUAUCAACACGUCAGAGGUGGAAUUCUUGGAUUGUGUUGCGACGAACUACUGCGAAAGCAUUUGCCAAGGAUGUUUUCAUUGAUCAAGAACGAAAGUAAGGGGAUCGAAGACGAUUAGAUACCGUCGUAGUCUUUACCAUAAACUAUGCCGACUAGAGAUUGGGCAUCGUUCAUUUACGACUUGCUCAGCACCUUAUGAGAUAUCAAAGUUUUUGGGUUCCGGGGGGAGUAUGGUCGCAAGGCUGAAACUUAAAGGAAUUGACGGAAGGGCACCACCAGGAAUGGAGCCUGCGGCUUAAUUUGACUCAACACGGGGAAACUCACCAGGUCCAGACAUAAUAAGGAUUGACAGAUUGAUAGCUCUUUCUUGAUUUUAUGGGUGGUGGUGCAUGGCCGUUCUUAGUUCGUGGAGUGAUUUGUCUGCUUAAUUGCGUUAACGA
This 711-nucleotide ribosomal RNA is filed under the name uncultured marine alveolate. RNAcentral describes it as "SSU rRNA". It matches the Rfam family "Eukaryotic small subunit ribosomal RNA", at positions 617 to 1334 of the family's 1831-position model. The record is from RNAcentral.